GUUGUGAUUUGCUUUCAAUUUAGUAUUUUUGCACUACAGCAAACAAC
Molecule: non-coding RNA, 47 nt
Organism: Bacteroides sp. 43_108
Lineage: Bacteria; Pseudomonadati; Bacteroidota; Bacteroidia; Bacteroidales; Bacteroidaceae
Source: Rfam